GCGUCAGGAACGGCCCGCACCGCUGACUCUUAAUCAGCGGGUUCGGGGUUCGAGUCCCUGAUGGCGCA
Molecule: transfer RNA, 68 nt
Filed under: Nocardia cyriacigeorgica
Lineage: Bacteria; Bacillati; Actinomycetota; Actinomycetes; Mycobacteriales; Nocardiaceae
Description: tRNA-Lys
Source: RNAcentral